RNAcentral lists this ribosomal RNA (495 nucleotides) under uncultured bacterium. RNAcentral describes it as "partial 16S ribosomal RNA". It matches the Rfam family "Bacterial small subunit ribosomal RNA", at positions 28 to 507 of the family's 1533-position model. The record is from RNAcentral.
GACGAACGCUGGCGGCGUGCCUAAUACAUGCAAGUAGAACGCUGAAGGAGGAGCUUGCUUCUCUGGAUGAGUUGCGAACGGGUGAGUAACGCGUAGGUAACCUGCCUGGUAGCGGGGGAUAACUAUUGGAAACGAUAGCUAAUACCGCAUAAUAGUAGAUGUUGCAUGACAUUUGCUUAAAAGGUGCAAUUGCAUCACUACCAGAUGGAUCUGCGUUGUAUUAGCUAGUUGGUGGGGUAACGGCUCACCAAGGCGACGAUACAUAGCCGACCUGAGAGGGUGAUCGGCCACACUGGGACUGAGACACGGCCCAGACUCCUACGGGAGGCAGCAGUAGGGAAUCUUCGGCAAUGGACGGAAGUCUGACCGAGCAACGCCGCGUGAGUGAAGAAGGUUUUCGGAUCGUAAAGCUCUGUUGUAAGAGAAGAACGAGUGUGAGAGUGGAAAGUUCACACUGUGACGGUAUCUUACCAGAAAGGGACGGCUAACUACGUG